GUGAUCAGGUGGUGGCCCGACGCAGGUGUUUCUGGCGCCUGCGAUAAUGAACGAAGAUGAACGUUAUGAUUCAUUGUGUUGAUGAUGUGACCGAGAAAGAGCCUCUGCUCUGAUUCUGGUAACGCCGAGAUGGUGAGUAAUCAAUUGCCUUUUAUCUUGGUUGAAAUCGGGUUGAAAUGCGGUCUGGACGUCUGCGACCUCGUUUCAACCGGCUAAAAAGUGGGCAAAACGUUAAUUUGUUAAUAAUGUGUCAUAUUGUAACGUAAGGUUGAAAGAGACUAUAUUAUCAUGACGAUUUUAAUAAAAUGGUCGGCGCAAUGCUCCACCUAAAACGUCAGAAAUAUGGACAAGAUGCUUUUAAGACGUAGCAAUGCGGUCAGUUUUACGCUCCGCUCACAUCUGUAACGCGCAUGCGCAAGUUCUUGGCCGCUUGCAGCGCUUCCACCGGAUGCGGCACGAGGCGAAGUUUGUGCGGCAGCAGAGCGACAUGAACCGGCUGAUAGAACCACGGCUACCGGCUCCAAUACUCUGUUUCUGUGGAUGCUGGAGGCCUGAUGGAGGUUACGCCUGAUGGAGGUUGUCCCUGCAGUGGUCCUGCCGUACACCUGGCUUACUACUAAAUAUUUGAAUCAUUUCUGUCGUAGGAAUUGAACUUUUUCCUGUUCCAUGUUUCGGGACCAGAAGUUGCAUGUUUGCGGACUGUAAAGCUCUCUAAUGCUCAUUUGUAAUUUUGGGCUGUACAAAAAUAAAAUGAUUUGAUUUGAAUUAACACGUUGACCGGAGGAAUCAGCCAUAUCUGUAAUUGAGGGGUGUUCUGUGCAUUCUGACUCCCUUUACACAAAGAAUCAAGUGACCAUAAGGGCGAUGGAGCUGAUCUCACGUAUUCUAUCCCAAUUCGUGACUCAGAACCAGAUCUUGUUACAGGAUCGGAAAAUGAAGUUCCAAAAAUUCAGCAAAAUGGGCUACAGACAGAUUUCUAAAUAAACUUGUCCAUGUUUAUACUUUUUUUU
Long non-coding RNA from Gasterosteus aculeatus aculeatus (three-spined stickleback), 1010 nucleotides. The record is from Ensembl. Lineage: Eukaryota; Metazoa; Chordata; Actinopteri; Perciformes; Gasterosteidae.